Molecule: ribosomal RNA, 1359 nt
Filed under: uncultured bacterium
Lineage: Bacteria
Description: bacterial SSU rRNA
Rfam family: Bacterial small subunit ribosomal RNA
Source: RNAcentral
AUUGAACGCUGGCGGCAGGCUUAACACAUGCAAGUCGAGCGGAGAGAGGUAGCUUGCUACUGAUCUUAGCGGCGGACGGGUGAGUAAUGCCUAGGAAUCUGCCUAUUAGUGGGGGACAACAUUUCGAAAGGAAUGCUAAUACCGCAUACGUCCUACGGGAGAAAGCAGGGGAUCUUCGGACCUUGCGCUAAUAGAUGAGCCUAAGUCGGAUUAGCUAGUUGGUGGGGUAAAGGCCUACCAAGGCGACGAUCUGUAGCGGGUCUGAGAGGAUGAUCCGCCACACUGGGACUGAGACACGGCCCAGACUCCUACGGGAGGCAGCAGUGGGGAAUAUUGGACAAUGGGCGCAAGCCUGAUCCAGCCAUGCCGCGUGUGUGAAGAAGGCCUUAUGGUUGUAAAGCACUUUAAGCGAGGAGGAGGCUACUUUAGUUAAUACCUAGAGAUAGUGGACGUUACUCGCAGAAUAAGCACCGGCUAACUCUGUGCCAGCAGCCGCGGUAAUACAGAGGGUGCAAGCGUUAAUCGGAUUUACUGGGCGUAAAGCGCGCGUAGGCGGCUAAUUAAGUCAAAUGUGAAAUCCCCGAGCUUAACUUGGGAAUUGCAUUCGAUACUGGUUAGCUAGAGUGUGGGAGAGGAUGGUAGAAUUCCAGGUGUAGCGGUGAAAUGCGUAGAGAUCUGGAGGAAUACCGAUGGCGAAGGCAGCCAUCUGGCCUAACACUGACGCUGAGGUGCGAAAGCAUGGGGAGCAAACAGGAUUAGAUACCCUGGUAGUCCAUGCCGUAAACGAUGUCUACUAGCCGUUGGGGCCUUUGAGGCUUUAGUGGCGCAGCUAACGCGAUAAAUAGACCGCCUGGGGAGUACGGUCGCAAGACUAAAACUCAAAUGAAUUGACGGGGGCCCGCACAAGCGGUGGAGCAUGUGGUUUAAUUCGAUGCAACGCGAAGAACCUUACCUGGCCUUGACAUAGUAAGAACUUUCCAGAGAUGGAUUGGUGCCUUCGGGAACUUACAUACAGGUGCUGCAUGGCUGUCGUCAGCUCGUGUCGCGAGAUGUUGGGUUAAGUCCCGCAACGAGCGCAACCCUUUUCCUUAUUUGCCAGCGAGUAAUGUCGGGAACUUUAAGGAUACUGCCAGUGACAAACUGGAGGAAGGCGGGGACGACGUCAAGUCAUCAUGGCCCUUACGGCCAGGGCUACACACGUGCUACAAUGGUCGGUACAAAGGGUUGCUACCUAGCGAUAGGAUGCUAAUCUCAAAAAGCCGAUCGUAGUCCGGAUUGGAGUCUGCAACUCGACUCCAUGAAGUCGGAAUCGCUAGUAAUCGCGGAUCAGAAUGCCGCGGUGAAUACGUUCCCGGGCCU